This is a non-coding RNA of Pelobates cultripes (western spadefoot toad), 87 nucleotides long. The record is from the annotation of a GenBank genome assembly. NCBI's taxonomy places the organism in Eukaryota, Metazoa, Chordata, Amphibia, Anura, Pelobatidae.
AGACCCUCCCUCCCAGACCCUCCUACUUCCUGGACAGCAUCCACAUGGAUGCUGUCCAGGAAGUAGGAGGGUCUGGGAGGGAGGGUC